GGGCAACAANUUCCACCUGGCUUACCUUUUCAGUCUUGUGUCAUUGCUUGUAUCGCAUUGAAUGCAUGGUGGGUUUCUUGUGUUGCAUGCCUAAUUGAUGGUAUCAUUUCAAGAAUUGAUGUCCCUUUUCAUCUUGUGUUGCACAUGCGAUGUGAGAUGAACCUUGAAGUAGCCUUUGUGAUCCACUCUUUCGAUGUACACGCAUUGAUUUUGUGGCCCACUGUGUGUUGCUUGGUCUCAUGGAUAUGGAACCUGGUGUGGGCAUGGGAUCUUUACUAGUUCCUUGUUUGCCCUGGUUUAGCUUUUCUAAUACGAUUGUUUAUCACAUUUUAUAAUGUGGUAGGCUAUAUCGGAUAUGAGUGCUACCUGGUUGAUCCUGCC
RNAcentral lists this unclassified non-coding RNA (381 nucleotides) under Leontopodium stracheyi. RNAcentral describes it as "partial contains external transcribed spacer and 18S ribosomal RNA". The record is from RNAcentral. Lineage: Eukaryota; Viridiplantae; Streptophyta; Magnoliopsida; Asterales; Asteraceae.